This is a long non-coding RNA of Medicago truncatula (barrel medic), 589 nucleotides long. RefSeq lists it as uncharacterized. The record is from RefSeq and is a predicted model, not a curated record. NCBI's taxonomy places the organism in Eukaryota, Viridiplantae, Streptophyta, Magnoliopsida, Fabales, Fabaceae. The transcript has 2 exons.
GGCUGAUCUACUUGCAUAUCACAUUUUCUGGGGUUUUCGUCACUACUGCGAUGGGUAGAUAAAGAUCAUCUGAUACUUUAAUAAAGUGCGGUCCCUAUUUAUAUAGAUGCAUAUCAGUAACAGAAAACCAGCUAAGGAAUAAAUGUUCUGUAUUAGAGAACUAACUACUUAGAGGAAGCAAAGUCAAGGUGGUUGAGAAUAUGAGGAAGGAGCAGCCACUUAAAAUCUUAGUGCUAUUUGUUUGUCCAUCUGUCGAUGAACAUUGGUUUCUUAUAAAUUUGACUUUUGAAAUGUUUUGUUGGUUUUGAUCCUACAACAGAUUGGUUUACAUGUUAGUGUAUUGUUGUUAUAAGUUCAAAUUUGUGGGACUUUUGAAUCCCCUCAAUUUGCUAGUCUUGGUAUGCAAAAGUCUUCUUGGACUAGGCUAGGCUGACACUACUUUAAAGGAGACUGAAGCACUAGGGAAUAAAAUUGGGCAGAGUAGUUCACAUACCGACAUCUAAUUUUCCAUAAGAUAUAAGAAAUAGAUGAGAUUUUGUAUAAGAUUUAAUAAUUAUGAAAACUUCAGUAUAAUGAGUCAAUUAAUCUA